UUUGAAUUGAGGUGUGACAAUUUGUGUCACACCAAGCUUGAUGAACUUCAUGAUUUUAUUUAAAAUGCUUAGGGAUGUUGAAUUGAGCUGAAAUUUUGCAUGAAUGAACAUAUGUAUGUUGAGAUCACAUGAGAUGUUUUCUGGAAUUUUUGCUUGCAUUUCCUAAUUGAUUGUGAUUUUCUCUUCUGUUGGCUCAUUUUGU
RNAcentral lists this long non-coding RNA (202 nucleotides) under Lathyrus oleraceus (garden pea). Its description in RNAcentral is "Pisum sativum (pea) long non-coding RNA (PSAT_LNC020123)". The record is from RNAcentral. Lineage: Eukaryota; Viridiplantae; Streptophyta; Magnoliopsida; Fabales; Fabaceae.